Molecule: RNA transcript, 1299 nt
Organism: Canis lupus familiaris (dog)
Lineage: Eukaryota; Metazoa; Chordata; Mammalia; Carnivora; Canidae
Gene name: protein FAM71B-like
Exons: 3
Source: RefSeq, a predicted model, not a curated record
CCUGUGCCUCGCCGCGAGUGCUGCAAGCGCCCCUGGCCAAGCGCCUGCUUUACAGACGCGGAAACUGAGGCACGGAGGUGGUGACUCAGUUGCUUCCUGCGGGUGUCCGCGUAGACGUUACCUCCUCGGGCCGGCCCGGGCCCCCGUGUGCGAAGCCGACUCCAGCUUCCAAACCGGCGCGUCCACUCUUAGUGCCAUGUACGGGUAGCCCUGCAGCUGUUACGGGUUCCCCUGCCCGUGUUACAGGUACCCCUGCAGGUGUUACGGGCACCGCUGCUGUUACAGGUUCCCCUGCAGGUACCCCUGCCCGUGUUACAGGUUCUGCAGGUGUUACAGGUACCCCUGCAGGUGUUAUGGGUUCCCCUGACCACGUUACAGGUUCCCCUGCAGGUACCCCUGCCCGUGUUACAGGUUCUGCAGGUGUUACGGGUUCCCCUGCAGGUGUUACAGGUACCCCUGCCCGUGUUACAGGUUCUGCAGGUGUUACAGGUACCCCUGCAGGUGUUAUGGGUUCCCCUGACCACGUUACAGGUUCCCCUGCAGGUACCCCUGCCCGUGUUACAAGUUCUGCAGGUGUUAGGGGUUCCCCUGCAGGUACCUCUGCAGGUGUUAUGGGUUCCCCUACAGGUGUUACGGGUAACCCUGCCCGUGUUAUUGGUACCCCUGCAGGUACCCCUGCUCGUGUUACAGGUAGCCCUGCAGGUGUUACAGGUUCCCCUGCAGGUUCCACUGCCCAUGUUACAAGUACCCCUGCAGGUGCUACAGGUACUGCUGCAGGUGUUACGGGUACCCCUGCAGGUGUUCUGUGAGUGGCUGGCCUUGGUGAAUUGAACAAACAGCUGUCAGAGCUAGUGGCUGCCUACUAUUGCCACCACAUCCUAGAACUUUGAAAGAGAAGCUGAAAAUCUUGAUUUUUUUGUUUGUUUGUUUUAGUUUUAAUGCAGAAUAUUUUAAAUGUUACUUUUAAAGAUUGUGGAGUUCUUGUCUCUGUGUGUGUGUGUUUAAUUGUACAAGCCAAACAAACCAUUUAUGUAGGUUGAAUUCAGCCGGUGGACUUCCCAAUUUGCAGCCCUAUAUUAAAGAGGAAUUUUUUUUUUAAAGGAGUGACAGGAGCGAAGUAUGAAAAUGAAUAUUUCCAACAAGGUCAUAUUCCUUAAUCUUUAGGUGCGUAGGUAAUUUAGGCUUGUCCGUCUUUUAUUUUUCCUGGUCAACCAUAAAGCUGAUUAUCUUUUAUCUUUUUUUUUUUUUAAGAUUUUAUUUAUUUGUUCAUGAGAGACACACAGAGAGGCAGAGACACAG